Molecule: ribosomal RNA, 427 nt
Filed under: uncultured archaeon
Lineage: Archaea
Description: bacterial SSU rRNA
Rfam family: Archaeal small subunit ribosomal RNA
Source: RNAcentral
UACCAGCUCUCCGAGUGGUGGGGAUGAUUAUUGGGCUUAAAGCGUCCGUAGCCGGCUUAGCAAGUCCCCUGUUAAACUCAGCGACUUAAUCGUUGAAUCGCGGGAGAUACUACUAGGCUAGGAGGCGGGAGAGGUCGACGGUACUUCCGGGGUAGGGGUGAAAUCCUAUAAUCCCGGGAGGACCACCAGUGGCGAAGGCUGUCGACUAGAACGCGCUCGACGGUGAGGGACGAAAGCUGGGGGAGCGAACCGGAUUAGAUACCCGGGUAGUCCCAGCUGUAAACGAUGCGAGCUAGGUGUUGGAAUGGCUACGUGCCAUUUCAGUGCCGCAGGGAAGCCAUUAAGCCCGCCGCCUGGGGAGUACGGCCGCAAGGCUGAAACUUAAGGAAUUGGCGGGGAGCACCACAAGGCGUGAAGCUUGCGGAUC